This 424-nucleotide ribosomal RNA is filed under the name Verrucomicrobiota bacterium. RNAcentral describes it as "Verrucomicrobia bacterium partial 16S ribosomal RNA". It matches the Rfam family "Bacterial small subunit ribosomal RNA", at positions 355 to 776 of the family's 1533-position model. The record is from RNAcentral. Lineage: Bacteria; Pseudomonadati; Verrucomicrobiota.
UGAGGAAUAUUGGUCAAUGGACGCAAGUCUGAACCAGCCAAGCAGCGUGCAGGAUGACGGCCCUAUGGGUUGUAAACUGCUUUUAUAGGGGGAUAAAGUGGGGAACGUGUUCCCUUUUGCAGGUACCAUAUGAAUAAGGACCGGCUAAUUCCGUGCCAGCAGCCGCGGUAAUACGGAAGGUUCGGGCGUUAUCCGGAUUUAUUGGGUUUAAAGGGAGCGUAGGCCGUUUGGUAAGCGUGUUGUGAAAUGUAGGAGCUCAACUUCUAGAUUGCAGCGCGAACUGUCAGACUUGAGUGCGCACAACGUAAGCGGAAUUCAUGGUGUAGCGGUGAAAUGCUUAGAUAUCAUGAAGAACUCCGAUUGCGAAGGCAGCUUACGGGAGCGCAACUGACGCUGAAGCUCGAAGGUGCGGGUAUCGAACAGG